GCCGGGCGCGGUGGCACGUGCCUGUAGCCCCAGCUACUCGGGAGUCUGAGGCGGGAGGAUCGCUUGAGUCCAGGAGUUCUGGGCUGCAGUGAGCUAUGCCAAUCAGGUGUCCACACUAAGUUUGGCAUCAAUAUGGUGACCUCCUGGGAGCAGGGAACCACCAGGUUGCCUAAGAAGGGGUGAACCGGCCCAGGUCAGAAACGGAGCAGGUGAAAACUCCCGGGCUGAUCAGUAGUGGGAUCGCGCCUGUGAAUAGCCACUGCACUCCAGCCUGGGCAACACAGUGAGACCUCACCUUU
This 299-nucleotide signal recognition particle RNA is filed under the name Jaculus jaculus (lesser Egyptian jerboa). Its description in RNAcentral is "Metazoan signal recognition particle RNA (ENSJJAG00000006047.1)". It matches the Rfam family "Metazoan signal recognition particle RNA". From Rfam's summary of the family: The signal recognition particle (SRP) is a universally conserved ribonucleoprotein. It is involved in the co-translational targeting of proteins to membranes. The eukaryotic SRP consists of a 300-nucleotide 7S RNA and six proteins: SRPs 72, 68, 54, 19, 14, and 9. Lineage: Eukaryota; Metazoa; Chordata; Mammalia; Rodentia; Dipodidae. The record is from RNAcentral.